UACGUAGGGGGCAAGCGUUGUCCGGAUUCAUUGGGCGUAAAGAGCGUGUAGGCGGCCAGGUAGGUCGGUUGUGAAAACUGGAGGCUCAACCUUCAGACGUCGACUGAAACCCCCUGGCUAGAGUCCGGGAGAGGAGAGUGGAAUUCCUGGUGUAGCGGUGGAAUGCGCAGAUAUCAGGAAGAACACCCGUGGCGAAAGCGGCUCUCUGGAACGGUACUGACGCUGAGACGCGAAAGCGUGGGGAGCGAACGGG
RNAcentral lists this ribosomal RNA (253 nucleotides) under uncultured bacterium. RNAcentral's name for it is "partial 16S ribosomal RNA". It matches the Rfam family "Bacterial small subunit ribosomal RNA", at positions 524 to 776 of the family's 1533-position model. The record is from RNAcentral.